This 85-nucleotide transfer RNA is filed under the name Planctomycetota bacterium. RNAcentral's name for it is "Planctomycetes bacterium tRNA-Ser". It matches the Rfam family "tRNA". Rfam says of the family: Transfer RNA (tRNA) molecules are approximately 80 nucleotides in length. Their secondary structure includes four short double-helical elements and three loops (D, anti-codon, and T loops). The record is from RNAcentral. Lineage: Bacteria; Pseudomonadati; Planctomycetota.
GGAGAGGUGGCUGAGCGGCCGAAAGUGCAUGCUUGGAAAGCAUGUGUACCUCAGGGUACCCAGGGUUCGAAUCCCUGCCUCUCCG